This 253-nucleotide ribosomal RNA is filed under the name uncultured bacterium. Its description in RNAcentral is "partial 16S ribosomal RNA". It matches the Rfam family "Bacterial small subunit ribosomal RNA", at positions 524 to 776 of the family's 1533-position model. The record is from RNAcentral.
UACAGAGGUCCCAAGCGUUGUUCGGAUUCACUGGGCGUAAAGGGUGCGCAGGUGGUCGGGUAAGUCUGAUGUGAAAUCCCGCAGCUUAACUGCGGAAUGGCAUUGGAUACUAUUCGGCUAGAGGGUUGGAGGGGGGACUGGAAUUCUCGGUGUAGCAGUGAAAUGCGUAGAUAUCGAGAGGAACACCAGUGGCGAAGGCGAGUCCCUGGACAACUCCUGACGCUGAGGCACGAAAGCUAGGGGAGCAAACAGG